Non-coding RNA from Ictidomys tridecemlineatus (thirteen-lined ground squirrel), 558 nucleotides. NCBI's taxonomy places the organism in Eukaryota, Metazoa, Chordata, Mammalia, Rodentia, Sciuridae. The record is from RefSeq and is a predicted model, not a curated record.
CAGGGAUAUCCUGCAGCAGCCUUUCAGGUUAGCUCUUGGAGGCAAAAUACCGGUCCCCGUCCAGCACUGUAGUACCUCCUGCACCUCACAAUUCCAGGCAUAUGGAUUUAAGCCUGGAGUCCUGGAUCUGCAGCUAGCGUCCCACCUAGAUUGCUCACCUUGUCCCAGAUGACCACAGGGGAGGGGGAAGAGUGAGGGCAGAGGGCGUUCACUGUUGAAGACGAAACAGACAUGAGGGAAGGUCAGUGCAGUCACAAGAAGAAAGGCUACAAGAUUCCAAAUCUGGGGAGAGAAGACUGGCCAUGCGGGGACCAAACAUGGGCAGGGAUCACGUGCACUUUGAGUGUGACUCAGCCAGCCGAGGGCUGACUCAUCUGGAGGCGUCUUCCCCACACGUGUGAUCAAUGACUGUGCCAACCUGGGGCUGUCAACUGGACACCUACAUGUGGCCUUACAGAGUGGUCUAUGGAUUCUGAAAGGCUGCAUCUCCAGAGCAAGAGGAAAAGCUCUGAUUUUCUUACCAAGGCAAGUGUCAAGAAGUAGAGCUCUUGUGAUCUU